Cottoperca gobio is the source of this 133-nucleotide small nucleolar RNA. The record is from Ensembl. NCBI's taxonomy places the organism in Eukaryota, Metazoa, Chordata, Actinopteri, Perciformes, Bovichtidae.
AUGCAUCCACUGAUAGACCUGAGGCACGUUUCUUUGGCUUCUAGGUUUGCAUAGAGAUGCUAAACUAAACCAUCCUUGUACUUUUUGACUGCUACCUUCAAUAGCAGCACAGAUUGAAUUGAGGAAAACAUUU